This 460-nucleotide ribosomal RNA is filed under the name uncultured bacterium. RNAcentral's name for it is "partial 16S ribosomal RNA". It matches the Rfam family "Bacterial small subunit ribosomal RNA", at positions 339 to 795 of the family's 1533-position model. The record is from RNAcentral.
CUACGGGUCGCUCCAGUGAGGAAUAUUGGUCAAUGGGCGAGAGCCUGAACCAGCCAUCCCGCGUGCAGGAUGACGGCCCUAUGGGUUGUAAACUGCUUUUCCAUACCAAGAAACCUGAUUACGUGUAAUUAGUUGCCGGUAGUAUGGGAAUAAGCAUCGGCUAACUCCGUGCCAGCAGCCGCGGUAAUAUCGGAGGAUGCAAGCGUUAUCCGGAUUCAUUGGGUUUAAAGGGUGCGCAGGUGGGCUUGUAAGUCAGUGGUGAAAUGUUGCCGCUUAACGGUAAAAUUGCCAUUGAUACUGCAAGUCUUGAAUAUAGUUGAGGUAGGCGGAAUGUGUUGUGUAGCGGUGAAAUGCAUAGAUAUGACACAGAACACCGAUUGCGAAGGCAGCUUACUAAGCUAUUAUUGACGCUGAGGCACGAAAGCGUGGGGAUCGAACAGGAUUAGAUACCCCAGUAGUC